CCUACGGGUGGCAGCAGUCGAGAAUCAUUCACAAUGGGGGAAACCCUGAUGGUGCGACGCCGCGUGGGGGAAUGAAGGUCUUCGGAUUGUAAACCCCUGUCAUGUGGGAGCAAAUUAAAAAGAUAGUACCACAAGAGGAAGAGACGGCUAACUCUGUGCCAGCAGCCGCGGUAAUACAGAGGUCUCAAGCGUUGUUCGGAAUCACUGGGCGUAAAGCGUGCGUAGGCUGUUUCGUAAGUCGUGUGUGAAAGGCGCGGGCUCAACCCGCGGACGGCACAUGAUACUGCGAGACUAGAGUGAUGGAGGGGGGACCGGAAUUCUCGGUGUAGCAGUGAAAUGCGUAGAUAUCGAGAGGAACACUCGUGGCGAAGGCGGGUUCCUGGACAUUAACUGACGCUGAGGCACGAAGGCCAGGGGAGCGAAAGGGAUUAGAUACCCCAGUAGUC
Molecule: ribosomal RNA, 446 nt
Filed under: uncultured bacterium
Lineage: Bacteria
Description: partial 16S ribosomal RNA
Rfam family: Bacterial small subunit ribosomal RNA
Source: RNAcentral